Cydia splendana is the source of this 292-nucleotide long non-coding RNA. RefSeq lists it as uncharacterized. The record is from RefSeq and is a predicted model, not a curated record. NCBI's taxonomy places the organism in Eukaryota, Metazoa, Arthropoda, Insecta, Lepidoptera, Tortricidae. The transcript has 3 exons.
AAGGGCGGUGACGACAAGGGCGGAGAUGACAAGAGCUCAGAUAAUAAGGGCGAAGAUGACAAGGGCUCAGGUGGAAAUGCCGCCGCUGCGGCUGCAGCAUCUAGUUCAGGUGGAGAUGAUAAGAAAGGAGAUGAUAAGGGCGGCGAUGACAAGAGCUCAGAUAAUAAGGGCGAAGAUGACAAGGGCUCAGGUGGAAGUGCCGCCGCUGCGGCUGCAGCAUCUAGUUCAGGUGGAGAUGAUAAGGGCGGAGAUGACAAGGGCGGAGAUGACAAGGGCUCAGGUGGAAGUGACG